GAUGAACGCUAGCGGCGUGCCUAAUACAUGCAAGUCGAGCGAACAGAUGAGGAGCUUGCUCCUCUGACGUUAGCGGCGGACGGGUGAGUAACACGUGGAUAACCUACCUAUAAGACUGGGAUAACUUCGGGAAACCGGAGCUAAUACCGGAUAAUAUAUUGAACCGCAUGGUUCAAUAGUGAAAGACGGUUUUGCUGUCACUUAUAGAUGGAUCCGCGCCGCAUUAGCUAGUUGGUAAGGUAACGGCUUACCAAGGCGACGAUGCGUAGCCGACCUGAGAGGGUGAUCGGCCACACUGGAACUGAGACACGGUCCAGACUCCUACGGGAGGCAGCAGUAGGGAAUCUUCCGCAAUGGGCGAAAGCCUGACGGAGCAACGCCGCGUGAGUGAUGAAGGUCUUCGGAUCGUAAAACUCUGUUAUUAGGGAAGAACAAAUGUGUAAGUAACUAUGCACGUCUUGACGGUACCUAAUCAGAAAGCCACGGCUAACUACGUG
This 497-nucleotide ribosomal RNA is filed under the name uncultured bacterium. RNAcentral describes it as "partial 16S ribosomal RNA". It matches the Rfam family "Bacterial small subunit ribosomal RNA", at positions 28 to 507 of the family's 1533-position model. The record is from RNAcentral.